UAGCCGCAAGUCUCUUCAUCUCUCUCUCUCUCUGAGAUUAUUCUUUUCAGAUCUUUGUGUGCAUUCGUGCCAUUUCUACUAUCGGUAUGGAUUAAGUUUACCCUUGUUUUCUGUUUUCUUAAUGCUUGUCAGUUAGGAUUAUUUAUCACAGAGCUUAGAGCAAUGGCUCCUGCUAAAGGUACCUCCUUUCUCAUGGAACUGAUAUAUUUUGUAUAGUACCCAGAAAAGGAAGAAAACAAAGAAUGUGGGUUUCAUCAUAGCUUUCUCGUUCUUCUAAUUUUCUUGUUGUUUAUUGGUAUUGGUUCUUUUGAUUGUUCAAGUGUUUGAUGUUUGAAUGCUGGGCUUGAUUGGUUGGACAAUUUUCUUAUCUCCCUAUAGAAAACUCGUACAGAAGGAGGCUUCUUUCUCUUCUUCUCCCAAAAACUCUGCCCUCUCUCAACCCAGACCCUUGUCUGUCCGUGUCUCACCCUAAUUUUUUGGGGCUGCUUCUCAGUCUGUUGUUCUGAUUUUGGUUAGAUCUCCCACCUUUGGACCGUUGUUGUAUGUAUUCUUGAUCUAGGUAGAUCUCCUUUGGAUAUAUUUUUUGUGGAGGUGUAGUUGUUGGAUCUAGUUAGGUAGGUCUAGGUAGAUCUUCCAUCAUAUGGUAUUGAGGGAUCGUGAGUUUCCAUCAUAGGUCGAAGGAAGUUUUUUAUUAGGGAUAUUUCUGGAAUUGGUCUCCUCUUUUGUUUUCAUUAUAUUUCCUUGUGAAUGAUUUACAUUUUUCUUCGACCUAUACCUGAUGGGAACCAAAUCCAGAUUGAGUUCACAUUCUCAUUCAUGCUAAAGAAGUAGUUAUUUGAAAGAUUAGUAUGUGAAUGUGGAUCAAAAAAUGUGUUUGAAUCACUUUAUUAAGGGCUCCCAACUCCUGUAUCAAAUCCUGUAUUUUUGGAUUAAACACUUGGUUGACCUGAGUUAUUUUCAUUAAGUUUUUUGGCUUUACUCAUCUCUCUUUAUUGACCAAGUUAUUGUUAGUCAUUUUGUUUGCUUGUCCUCUUUAUUCUUUCUAUUUGACCAUGUAAGAUCUAGCUGCAUGGAUUUAAUUAGGAAAAGGAACUUUGAUGGCGUACAUAAAUAUCUAUUAUCCGUAGUGGUUUAAAUUUGUAGGUCAUGAUCAAAUUCGUACAAAUAGUGUUUGGCGUAGUGGUUUUAAAUAUUGCUAAGCCACAUGCAUCUUUUCCAGUAUCUUUGAUGCUGUGAUGUAUCAUUUCUUGUUCGACAAGCACCCAAAUAUCGGUUUGGCUGCUCUUUUAAACUGUUUCUUUAACUUCGACUCUACUACUCUCAGCAUCUCCGAUAAUAUUUUUUUCAACACCUUUUAAGUCUUUUAUCUCACCCUCAGCAUCAAAGCAUUGAGUUGCAAAUCAAGAUUUUAAAAUUAGCUGCCACAUACAUUAAUUCAGAAUCAGCUAACGUCAUACACUAAUGCACUUGUUACUUAAUACUCAUCACAUCUAAAAUCGCCUAGCUUUGCUUGUCCGUCAAGUAGGAACAUGUUGCAAGGUAAUAAAUCACCAUAGAAUAAUCGUUUUCUAUGGAGAUAUAUCAUGCAAGGCUUGGUAUAUCUCAAUGGAAAACGAUUCCUCCAUAGUGAUUUAUUGCCUUGCAACGUGUUCUUAUUUGAUGGAUAAGCAAAGCUGGGUGAUUUUGGAUGUGGUGAGUAUUGAGUAAGUACCAAAUGCAUUAGUGUAUGAUGUUAGCUGAUUUUGAAUUAAUGUAUGUAGGCUAAUUUUAAAAUCCUUGAUUUGCAGCUAAAUGCUUUGAUGUUGGGGGUGAGAUAAAGGACUUGAAAGGUGUUGAAAAAAUAUUAUCGGAGAUGGUGAGAGUAGUAGAGUCGAAGUUGAAGAAACAGUUGAAAAGAGCAGCCAAAUCGAUCGUUGGGGGCCUGUCGAACGAGAACUCAUCUAUCACAGCAUCAAAGAUAUUGGAAAGGAUGCAUUUGGCUUCGCAAAUUUGAACACAGAGCGGAGAGUUGCAAUAGAUUUAGGGUCCUCACACCUUUUCUUUAGCUCUAUUCCUCAAAUUGUCUAACUGCUGCUCGAAUUAUCAGCUGGUCAUUUUUUGAAUUCUUCAAUGCUGAGUUCCAAUUGAAUUCUUUGAUGUAUAUUUCUGAUCUGUUAUAAAGCUCCAAAAAAAUUUCUUGAAGUAUCUCGCUCAUUUGGUCCACAUCACAUGUGAGACUUCAACAUGUAAGUGAGAACUAAAACCAACAUACUUCAAAAGGGUCUUUGUUUAGAUGAAUCUAUGCCCUCUAAUCGAGCACUUCAGCAGGGUGCAGGUUCCAAUAUCUUCUAACAAAAGUUCAUUAGUUUAGGAAAAAUUGUCUUAUCCUCGUAUUUGAAAACCAUUACAUUGAAAUUUUGGUUUUGAGCUUUUAUUUUACAUCAAUGAUUAACAGUAUAUUUCAAGAUCGGUCUUAUGCAGAGUUACAAACUAGACUAUUGAGACAAACUUGCAAAACGUAGGCCAGCGUCCCAGCAAGCAACAUCAUGAUGUGUGAACCUGUCAAGUUUGUAGAGAACGGGAAGCAACUGCCCUCAAAGUAAAUAAGGAUGUGAAGUUGGCACUUAUUCGCAUAGGUGUUGUGCUUGGCAAAGAUGGCGGUGCUUUAGAUAACAAAGCUUCUCCUGCCUCACACAUAGUUACACCUUUGAGCUUCUGCAGCUAAAAUGAUCCCUUUCUUCAUGGUGUUCGCUGGAGGACCCUUGGGCUCUGGAAAACAAUGGUUUUCCUGGAUUCAUCUGGAUGACAUAGUGAACCUGAUAUAUGAAGCUCUAUCCAAUCCAUCUUAUAAUGGAGUUAUCAAUGGAACUGCACCCAACCCGGUUUGAUUUGCAGAAAUGUGUGAACAUUUGGGAAAUGUCUUGGUAGGCCUUCAUGGCUGCCUGUACCAGGUUUCGCCCUGAAAGCGGAUCCUUGGAGAAGGUGCUUCUGUGGUUCUGGAUGGGCGAAGGGUGCUUCCAGUUAAAGCCAAGGAAUUCAGUAGAUAAUGUGACAGGAAUUAGGCUUCACGUUCAAGUACUCUUCUGUGAAAGAUGCUUUAAGAUCUAUUAUUUCACAAUAAGUGACAUAAUGUGACGGGAAACAUCCAUGGUUCUUCUUUCUUUUAGGUAUUGUUAUAAUAAGUUGCAGAAGAAGCAUCUUUCUUUUUCAUUCUUUUUGUUAUAGUCUCUAAUACAAGGAAAGGGAAUAGAAAGCAAACAAAACAGUAAACAAAAAAGGAUCAGAAUAGAUACAUCUUAUAAGAAUAGGGACUACUACCACAUUGGAUCACUUCUGGAUCGAUUAGAAGGCUUGAAAUAUAGGCAACAAUUCAAUCCGCCCAAACUUACCGAUACAAUCCGAUCUAAUUUUAAUUG
Molecule: non-coding RNA, 3395 nt
Organism: Prunus mume (Japanese apricot)
Lineage: Eukaryota; Viridiplantae; Streptophyta; Magnoliopsida; Rosales; Rosaceae
Source: RefSeq, a predicted model, not a curated record